UACGUAGGGUGCAAGCCUUGAUCGGAUUUAUUGGGCGUAAAGGGCGCGUAGGCGGAUAUGCCAGUCAGAUGUGAAAUCCCGGGGCUCAACCCCGGAACAGCAUUUGAAACUAUAUUUCUAGAGGGUAGACGGAGAAAACGGAAUUCCACAAGUAGCGGUGAAAUGCGUAGAUAUGUGGAAGAACACCAGUGGCGAAGGCGGUUUUCUAGUUUAUACCUGACGCUGAGGCGCGAAAGCAAGGGGAGCAAACAGG
RNAcentral lists this ribosomal RNA (253 nucleotides) under uncultured bacterium. Its description in RNAcentral is "partial 16S ribosomal RNA". It matches the Rfam family "Bacterial small subunit ribosomal RNA", at positions 524 to 776 of the family's 1533-position model. The record is from RNAcentral.